UACGGGGUGCAGCAGGCGCGAAAACUUUACAAUGCUGGCAACAGCGAUAAGGGAACCUCGAGUGCCAGGUUACAAAUCUGGCUGUCGAGAUGCCUAAAAAGCAUUUCAUAGCAAGGGCCGGGCAAGACCGGUGCCAGCCGCCGCGGUAACACCGGCGGCUCGAGUGGUAACCGUUAUUAUUGGGUCUAAAGGGUCUGUAGCCGGCCGGAUAAGUCUCUUGAGAAAUCUGGCAGCUUAACUGUCAGGCUUUCAGGAGAUACUGUCUGGCUCGAGGCCGGGAGAGGUGAGAGGUACUUCAGGGGUAGGGGUGAAAUCUUGUAAUCCUUGAAGGACCACCAGUGGCGAAGGCGUCUCACCAGAACGGACCUGACGGCGAGGGACGAAAGCUAGGGGCACGAACCGGAUUAGAUACCCGGGUAGUCCUAGCCGUAAACGAUACUCGCUAGGUGUCGGCCACGGUGCGACCGUUGUCGGUGCCGUAGGGAAGCCGUGAAGCGAGCCACCUGGGAAGUACGGCCGCAAGGCUGAAACUUAAAGGAAUUGGCGGGGGAGCACCACAACGGGUGGAGCUUGCGGUUUAAUUGGAUUCAACGCCGGAAAUCUUA
This 605-nucleotide ribosomal RNA is filed under the name uncultured archaeon. RNAcentral describes it as "bacterial SSU rRNA". It matches the Rfam family "Archaeal small subunit ribosomal RNA", at positions 324 to 929 of the family's 1478-position model. The record is from RNAcentral.